ACCUCGUGAAAGACAUGGGUAGUGAGAUGUCCUGUACAUCAAAAUUCUCACUACCUUGUCUUUCAUGCGGAU
This 72-nucleotide microRNA precursor is filed under the name Manduca sexta (tobacco hornworm). Its description in RNAcentral is "mir-71 microRNA precursor family". It matches the Rfam family "mir-71 microRNA precursor family". Lineage: Eukaryota; Metazoa; Arthropoda; Insecta; Lepidoptera; Sphingidae. The record is from Rfam by way of RNAcentral.